UGAACGCUAGCUACAGGCUUAACACAUGCAAGUCGAGGGGCAGCAUGGUCUUAGCUUGCUAAGGCCGAUGGCGACCGGCGCACGGGUGAGUAACACGUAUCCAACCUGCCGUCUACUCUUGGACAGCCUUCUGAAAGGAAGAUUAAUACAAGAUGGCAUCAUGAGUCCGCAUGUUCACAUGAUUAAAGGUAUUCCGGUAGACGAUGGGGAUGCGUUCCAUUAGAUAGUAGGCGGGGUAACGGCCCACCUAGUCUUCGAUGGAUAGGGGUUCUGAGAGGAAGGUCCCCCACAUUGGAACUGAGACACGGUCCAAACUCCUACGGGAGGCAGCAGUGAGGAAUAUUGGUCAAUGGGCGAGAGCCUGAACCAGCCAAGUAGCGUGAAGGAUGACUGCCCUAUGGGUUGUAAACUUCUUUUAUAAAGGAAUAAAGUCGGGUAUGCAUACCCGUUUGCAUGUACUUUAUGAAUAAGGAUCGGCUAACUCCGUGCCAGCAGCCGCGGUAAUACGGAGGAUCCGAGCGUUAUCCGGAUUUAUUGGGUUUAAAGGGAGCGUAGAUGGAUGUUUAAGUCAGUUGUGAAAGUUUGCGGCUCAACCGUAAAAUUGCAGUUGAUACUGGAUAUCUUGAGUGCAGUUGAGGCAGGCGGAAUUCGUGGUGUAGCGGUGGAAUGCUUAGAUAUCACGAAGAACUCCGAUUGCGAAGGCAGCCUGCUAAGCUGCAACUGACAUUGAGGCUCGAAAGUGUGGGUAUCAAACAGGAUUAGAUACCCUGGUAGUCCACACGGUAAACGAUGAAUACUCGCUGUUUUGCGAUAUACAGCAAGCGGCCCAGCGAAAGCGUUUAGUAUUCCACCUGGGGAGUACGCCGGCAACGGUGAAACUCAAAGGAAUUGAC
RNAcentral lists this ribosomal RNA (893 nucleotides) under uncultured organism. RNAcentral describes it as "SSU rRNA". It matches the Rfam family "Bacterial small subunit ribosomal RNA", at positions 30 to 914 of the family's 1533-position model. The record is from RNAcentral.